This 156-nucleotide ribosomal RNA is filed under the name Ophiocordyceps sinensis. Its description in RNAcentral is "5.8S ribosomal RNA". It matches the Rfam family "5.8S ribosomal RNA". From Rfam's summary of the family: 5.8S ribosomal RNA (5.8S rRNA) is a component of the large subunit of the eukaryotic ribosome. It is transcribed by RNA polymerase I as part of the 45S precursor that also contains 18S and 28S rRNA. Functionally, it is thought that 5.8S rRNA may be involved in ribosome translocation. The record is from RNAcentral. Lineage: Eukaryota; Fungi; Ascomycota; Sordariomycetes; Hypocreales; Ophiocordycipitaceae.
AACUUUCAACAACGGAUCUCUUGGUUCUGGCAUCGAUGAAGAACGCAGCGAAAUGCGAUAAGUAAUGUGAAUUGCAGAAUUCAGUGAACCAUCGAAUCUUUGAACGCACAUUGCGCCCGCCAGCACUCUGGCGGGCAUGCCUGUCCGAGCGUCACC